This 22-nucleotide non-coding RNA is filed under the name Rattus norvegicus (Norway rat). The record is from RNAcentral. Lineage: Eukaryota; Metazoa; Chordata; Mammalia; Rodentia; Muridae.
AUUGUUGCUUUCUUUGUGGCUU